CAUAUCAAUAAGCGGAGGAAAAGAAACCAACAGGGAUUGCCCCAGUAACGGCGAGUGAAGCGGCAACAGCUCAGAUUUGAAAUCUGGCCCCCAGGGCCCGAGUUGUAAUCUGUAGAGGAUGCUUCUGGCAAGGCGCCGUCCGAGUUCCCUGGAACGGGACGCCGGAGAGGGUGAGAGCCCCGUACAGGCGGACGCCGAGCCUCUGUGAAGCUCCUUCGACGAGUCGAGUAGUUUGGGAAUGCUGCUCAAAGCGGGAGGUAAAUUUCUUCUAAAGCUAAAUAUAGGCCAGAGACCGAUAGCGCACAAGUAGAGUGAUCGAAAGAUGAAAAGCACUUUGAAAAGAGGGUUAAAAAGCACGUGAAAUUGUUGAAAGGGAAGCGCCUGUGACCAGACUCGCGCCCGGCGGAUCAUCCGGCGUUCUCGCCGGUGCACUCCGYCGGGCUCGGGCCAGCAUCGGUUCUGGUGGGGGGAUAAAGGCGGCGGGGAUGUGGCUCCCCCGGGAGUGUUAUAGCCCGCCGCUCAAUGCCCUCGCCGGGACCGAGGACCGCGCAUUUGCAAGGAUGCUGGCGUAAUGGUCACCAGCGACCCGUCUUGAAACACGGACCAAGGAGUCAAGCAUUAGGGCGAGUGUUUGGGUGUAAAACCCGCACGCGAAAUGAAAGUGAACGUAGGUGGGAGCCUCGGCGCACCAUCGACCGAUCCUGAAGUCUUCGGAUGGAUUUGAGUAAGAGCCUUACCGCUUGGACCCGAAAGAUGGUGAACUAUGCUUGUGUAGGGUGAAGCCAGAGGAAACUCUGGUGGAGGCUCGCAGCGGUUCUGACGUGCAAAUCGAUCGUCAAACAUGAGCA
This 848-nucleotide ribosomal RNA is filed under the name Phomatospora uniseriata. RNAcentral describes it as "partial large subunit ribosomal RNA". The record is from RNAcentral. Lineage: Eukaryota; Fungi; Ascomycota; Sordariomycetes; Phomatosporaceae.